Molecule: RNA transcript, 1843 nt
Organism: Aedes aegypti (yellow fever mosquito)
Lineage: Eukaryota; Metazoa; Arthropoda; Insecta; Diptera; Culicidae
Gene: Rbp1
Gene name: RNA-binding protein 1
Exons: 5
Source: RefSeq, a predicted model, not a curated record
CCAGCAGCCAAAGUUGUUCAUCAGGUUCAUCAUCUGUGAAAAUCGCACGCUCCUGGAGUUGCUGCGUGAAAAAGUUCAAAAAGUCGUGAAAUUACCAUUCAAACCCCGUCAAAAGUGUGAAUUAUCGCUGUCGAAGGCACCUAAAUUACUAGCAUAAACAACAAUGGCACGCUACCGCGAGUGGGACCUCCAGUGCAAGGUCUACGUUGGCAAUCUGGGAUCGUCCGCCUCCAAGCACGAGAUCGAAAGCGCCUUCGGAAAGUACGGCCCGCUGAGAAACGUUUGGGUGGCCCGCAAUCCGCCCGGUUUCGCUUUCGUCGAAUUCGAGGACAAACGUGACGCCGAAGACGCAGUGCGAUCGUUGGAUGGAACGAGAUGUUGCGGAACUCGCAUCCGAGUGGAGAUGUCCUCCGGCCGGACCCGGCGUGAUGACCGCAGAAGGCCCCGUCGCUCGUACAGGGCAAGCUCUUCCAAGAAACUCUGCGUCAGCAACUUCCGCCACAGAACUUCAUCUAACCAACCUUCUACUAGUAGUUCGUCUGUAAUGACUAGCGAAAGCAUCAAAUCCACCACCAAAACCACCACCACCACAACCACAGCCAUCACCACAACCAACCAAAUCACCACCACCACCAUCACCGCCAAAGAAACCUCUUCAGCCUCUUCGAUCUCUUCUAGACUUGUUCGCUUUUUCGUCGUGCAAGCUCGUCAAGUAGUCUCCCAUCUGCUACUACUAUCGAAAGUGCAACCGCCUCAACCGCAACCACCAACAUCACUUCUUCUACUACUACUACUACCGCUACUACUACUACUACUGCUACCACUGCAAUCGCCAACGUCAGCACUUCAACAACUGCUGCAUCGUUCGACGACAUCGCUCAACCAGCUGAUGCUGCUGCUGCUGCCGCUGAAAACAAGCUUCUUCACUUGCUCUCAACCGCAGCAACAACAACAACAACUUCGACGAAAUUUGUUGAAACUUAUUCUUCCGACCUGAGGGAAAGCGGCCAACCCUUUCAACCGGGCGGAAUUGAGCUUUUGCUUUGAACCACAUCAAGGCUAGCAAAUACGAGCACACAAACACUUGAAACGUGUGCCGACCGCGAAGUAGAUUCUUCGAUGAAUAUCUUCGCGUGCGAUUGGGCAACCAGCGAUCUUCUCCAUCUCCAUCAACGGCGAGCUUCGACGAUCUUCCGGGCGAUCUUCUCCCAACCGCCCUCCGUAGUCCGAAACCGAGCGCUAUCAACUCUACUCGACGGCUACUCAUCUCAUCAGUCUUCCGAAUUGUUCUUCCUACCACUUCUACGACACCAUCGUGACAACCCUUCUACUACUACUACCUCCACCACCACCAAAAAAAAACACCAGCCACCUAUAAUACUACUGCUUCUAUAGUAUCGAAAUGUGUAGUGCGCCAAACCGCAAAUUACGCUAUCUGCAAACGACCUUAACAUCCGCGUAGCCAUCCGUAACGUGUGUAAAAUGUUAGCUCGCCAAAAAAAAAAAAAGUUCGAGCGCUGUAGAUAGUCACCACGCAAGGCGUCACCAAUUUGUGUCGUCGUCGUCGUAGUCGUCACCGUCGAACCUUGGUCAUCAUUUCAACAACACCACCAAAUCAACAUCCUAGCUUUUUCGAAAAGAUAGUGAGAGAGAGAUUCGCCACAGGCCUGUGUCCAAUACAACACAAAACUCAGUAAUAGCCUGCGACCCUCACACACACCUCGUCCCUUGGAAAAGAUCCCGAUCGCCACGCCGUUCCCGUUCACGCUCCCGCAGUAUGAGCCGUGACCGCGACCGCGACCGCCGCAGCCGAAGUGGAUCCCGCGACCGCCGCUAGGGAGGA